RNAcentral lists this ribosomal RNA (326 nucleotides) under uncultured eukaryote. RNAcentral describes it as "partial 18S ribosomal RNA". It matches the Rfam family "Eukaryotic small subunit ribosomal RNA", at positions 1470 to 1796 of the family's 1831-position model. The record is from RNAcentral.
CCCUUAGAUGUUCUGGGCUGCACGCGCGCUACACUGAUGCACUCAACGAGUUUACGACCUUGCCCGAUAGGGUUGGGUAAUCUUUUUAAAAUGCAUCGUGAUGGGGAUAGAUUAUUGCAAUUAUUAAUCUUCAACGAGGAAUUCCUAGUAAGCGCGAGUCAUCAGCUCGUGCUGAUUACGUCCCUGCCCUCUGUACACACCGCCCGUCGCUCCUACCGAUUGAGUGCUCAGGUGAAUAAUUCGGACUGCAGCAAUGUUUGGAUCCCGAACGUUGCAGCGGAAAGUUUAGUGAACCUUAUCACUUAGAGGAAGGAGAAGUCGUAACA